This 459-nucleotide ribosomal RNA is filed under the name uncultured bacterium. RNAcentral's name for it is "partial 16S ribosomal RNA". It matches the Rfam family "Bacterial small subunit ribosomal RNA", at positions 338 to 795 of the family's 1533-position model. The record is from RNAcentral.
CCUACGGGAGGCAGCAGUGAGGAAUAUUGGUCAAUGGCCGGAAGGCUGAACCAGCCAAGCCGCGUGAAGGACGAAGGUGCCAAGCAUUGUAAACUUCUUUUGUCAAGGGACAAAAUCAGGCUCGAGAGCCUGACCGAGGGUACUUGAAGAAAAAGCAUCGGCUAACUCCGUGCCAGCCGCCGCGGUAAUACGGCGGAUGCGAGCGUUAUCCGGAUUUAGUGGGUUUAAAGGGUGCGUAGGCGGACUGUUAAGUCAGCGGUAAAAGCCCGGGGAUCAACCCCGGCGAGACGGUGAAACUGGCUGUCUUGAGAUGUCGAGAGGUAUGCGGAAUGCGCAGUGUAGCGGUGAAAUGCUUAGAUAUUGCGCAGAACUCCGAUUGCGAAGGCAGCAUACCGGCGGCGAUCUGACGCUGAGGCACGAAAGCGUGGGUAUCGAACAGGAUUAGAUACCCCUGUAGUC